RNAcentral lists this ribosomal RNA (460 nucleotides) under uncultured bacterium. RNAcentral describes it as "partial 16S ribosomal RNA". It matches the Rfam family "Bacterial small subunit ribosomal RNA", at positions 338 to 795 of the family's 1533-position model. The record is from RNAcentral.
CCUACGGGAGGCAGCAGUGAGGAAUAUUGGUCAAUGGGCGUAAGCCUGAACCAGCCAAGUCGCGUGAGGGAUGACGGUUCUAUGGAUUUUAAACCUCUUUUAUAAAGGAAUAAAACGAGGCACGUGUGCCUUUUUGCAUGUACUUUAUGAAUAAGGAUCGGCUAACUCCGUGCCAGCAGCCGCGGUAAUACGGAGGAUCCGAGCGUUAUCCGGAUUUAUUGGGUUUAAAGGGAGCGUAGAUGGGUUGUUAAGUCAGUUGUGAAAGUUUGCGGCUCAACCGUAAAAUUGCAAUUGAUACUGGCAGUCUUGAGUACAGUUGAGGUAGGCGGAAUUCGUGGUGUAGCGGUGAAAUGCUUAGAUAUCACGAAGAACCCCGAUUGCGAAGGCAGCUUACUAAACUGUGACUGACAUUGAUGCUCGAAAGUGUGGGUAUCAAACAGGAUUAGAUACCCGUGUAGUC